This 65-nucleotide transfer RNA is filed under the name Rhacophorus modestus. RNAcentral describes it as "tRNA-Cys". Lineage: Eukaryota; Metazoa; Chordata; Amphibia; Anura; Rhacophoridae. The record is from RNAcentral.
AGGCCUUGUGGUGUUACACGUGAGGUUGCAAACCUCAAGAAGCAGAAUAAUAUUCUGCCGGGGCU